AUCUAGAUUGCGGAUCCGCGGCCGCAGAGUUUGAUCAUGGCUCAGAAUGAACGCUAGCGGCAGGCUUAACACAUGCAAGUCGAGGGGCAGCGCGAGUAGCAAUACUUGGCGGCGACCGGCGUAAGGGUGCGUAACGCGUGAGCAACAUGCCCGUAUCAGGGGGAUAAUCCAGGGAAACUUGGUCUAAUACCCCAUAGUAAUUUUGUAAGGCAUCUUAUGGAAUUUAAAGCUUUGGUGGAUACGGAUUGGCUCGCGUGACAUUAGCUGGAUGGUAAGGUAACGGCUUACCAUGGCUAUGAUGUCUAGGGGUCCUGAGAGGAAGGUCCCCCACACUGGAACUGAGACACGGUCCAGACUCCUACGGGAGGCAGCAGUGAGGAAUAUUGGACAAUGGAUGGAAAUCUGAUCCAGCCAUGCCGCGUGAAGGAAGAAGGUCCUAUGGAUUGUAAACUUCUUUUGUAUGGGAGCAAUAAGGCCUACGAGUAGGUUGAUGAGAGUACCAUACGAAUAAGCACCGGCUAACUCCGUGCCAGCAGCCGCGGUAAUACGGAGGGUGCAAGCGUUAUCCGGAUCUAUUGGGUUUAAAGGGUGCGUACGCGGUUAUUUAAGUCAGUGGUGAAAGUUUUCGGCUCAACCGGAAAUUUGCCAUUGAUACUGGGUAGCUAGAAUAUGGUUG
RNAcentral lists this ribosomal RNA (676 nucleotides) under uncultured bacterium. Its description in RNAcentral is "bacterial SSU rRNA". It matches the Rfam family "Bacterial small subunit ribosomal RNA", at positions 1 to 654 of the family's 1533-position model. The record is from RNAcentral.